AUUGAACGCUGGCGGCAGGCCUAACACAUGCAAGUCGAGCGAGCGGCGGACGGGUGAGUAAUGUCUGGGAAACUGCCUGAUGGAGGGGGAUAACUACUGGAAACGGUAGCUAAUACCGCAUAACAUCAGAUGAGCACAGAUGGGAUUAGCUAGUAGGUGGGGUAACGGCUCACCUAGGCGACGAUCCCUAGCUGGUCUGAGAGGAUGACCAGCCCCACUUGGACUGAGACACGGUCCAGACUCCUACGGGAGGCAGCAGUGGGGAAUAUUGCACAAUGGGCGCAAGCCUGAUGCAGCCAUGCCGCGUGUGUGAAGAAGGUCUUCGGAUUGUAAAGCACUUUAAGUUGGGAGGCGUUACCAACAGAAUAAGCACCGGCUAACUUCGUGCCAGCCGCCGCGGUAAUUC
This 406-nucleotide ribosomal RNA is filed under the name uncultured bacterium. RNAcentral describes it as "partial 16S ribosomal RNA". It matches the Rfam family "Bacterial small subunit ribosomal RNA", at positions 30 to 526 of the family's 1533-position model. The record is from RNAcentral.